RNAcentral lists this long non-coding RNA (489 nucleotides) under Lepidothrix coronata (blue-crowned manakin). Its description in RNAcentral is "lncRNA (ENSLCOG00000004082.1)". Lineage: Eukaryota; Metazoa; Chordata; Aves; Passeriformes; Pipridae. The record is from RNAcentral.
CCGAGAAGGAGUCAGAGCUGCUGUGGCUGGCCAGGGAGUGCCUGGUGGCCCCGUUACCCCCUGACUGGAAGCCCUGCCAAGACACCACUGGUGAUGUGUAUUACUUCAACUUUGCAACGGGCCAGUCCAUGUGGGAGCACCCCUGUGAUGAGCAGUACAGGGAGCUGGUGAUCCGGGAGAGGGAGAAGCUGCUGGCACAGGGCAGCCUGAGGAAGGAGAAGAAAGAGAAGAAGCAGAAGAAAGAAAAGAAAGAGAAGAAGGACAAGAAGGAGAAGCAGUCGCGGAAGCAAACCCCUCCCUUGGGCCCCCACCUGGCCCCCAUCCAGCUGCCCCUGGGGACCCUCUCUCCUCUCCGUGGCCUCGCUCCGUCUCAGCCCGUCGUCCUUCGUGGGUCCCCGAGCGUGGGCAGUGUGGUGGACUCCGACCUGAUGGCCAGGGAAGGAACACAGGUGAGGCUCCCUCUUCCCUGGAAGGCACACUGCAAAGGCU